GUUUCGAAAGGAACACGGUCAUUCAGCACUAACAAAGGGAGAUAAACAACUUUUGAGACGUGGACGGUUAUCUUUCCGCAUGACUUUCCAGCAUGACACAACCAAAGCUGAUAGUUUGUGCUAAUAAUAUCGUCACUAUGAAGGAAACGGUGAUACAGACGUUUACGAUAUUAUUGAUGGUAUGUAUUAUUCUGACGAUCAUCCUUGUCCGUUGGGAGAAAGACCUCCGCCACAAAUUCCUGGAUAGCCCGUGGAAUAAAAACCAAGAGAACGCUUUGAGGGGUGUACGUGUGUUUGUUAAUAAUUUUGAAACAGCAAAAAACAAUUGCAGAAGUUCAAAGUCCGGGAAUUGUAACUCGACAAACACAUUGUUUGAGCAGAACCGCCAUUCUUUAAACGUUUCGAAACGUUCUUCAGGAUAUUCAAAACGAACAAAUGUAGAAAAGUUGAGAAAUAAUUCACAGUUAGCUAGGUUUACUUUAAGGUCCAAUUACUCGAAACAUCACGUAACGAACACAAGUGGAGCUCAAAGUCAAAAGACAAGUGACAAACAUGACGUCAUCAAUGGUGCAGACCUAAAGCAGAAUACACCGGAUCAAGCGAAAGUUUUAAAUGGUUAUACUGUUUCCUUAGAAGGAUUGCAACCUAAACAAACACAGAAACAAGCGAAUUCAUCACGAGGCUUCAAACCUACCACGGAGUCUUACCACGCACAGAAAGUAGCAAAAACUUCAAACAAUAUAAAAGCGGAGGCGGAAACCGAAAACUUGAAGUUUAGUGGUGGAAAGGAGUUCAAGAGUGGGAACCACAUGUUUGAUGUCAGCGGGUAUACAAAUAUUUGGUUGAACGAUACCAUGGGUUUACAAAGAAAAGGCCUAAAGGGGUAUUUAAUUUAUGACUGUAGCAAGGCCCGUAAAGAGAAAUGCGGAGGAUGGUCUGACCGGCUUUCGGGGAUCCUCUCGACGCUUGUUCUCGCUACUCUCACAAACAGGACUUUCAAGAUUAAUUUCGACAAUCCAUGUGUCCUUUCAAAAUACCUCGGACCUAACCAGUACAACUGGACCAUCGGACGUUCGGAAUAUGAGGGUAAAUCUACAUCAUACCACAUUCUCACAAACAAUCUUUAUCAUAAGAUGGGAAAAGAGUUGACGCCAAAAGGAUUGCAAAAGUAUUUUCAAAGGGACUUUUCCUUUAUUCGAAUGAAUUGGGACCUUACCAGACAAUUUAGAAAAUAUCCAAACAUUCAGAAAUAUGCACCUUGGAUAACUGAGUUACAUUUUUCAGAUAUCUAUCUCAACCUUUUUAAUACUUUAUUCAAACCUUCACAAGAAAUAGUCAAGGUGUUGGCCAAUAUUCGUAAUGAUACCACAAGAAGUAAAACUGCUUGCGCUCAUUUGCGAAUAGGCGGCAACCCAAGCAUGCGAAAUGACCAUCCGAGGAAUGAUAAAAACUCCCUCAAGGCAGUUUGGUCUUUUCUAGAUCAACUAUACAUAAAUGAUUAUAAUAUUUUUGUUGCAACAGAUGAUGAUAGCGUUAGAAAAACAGCCCGAGAGAGAUUCAAAAAUACAUUUAUCGAUAUUCCUGGUAGUAUCAUGCAUAUUGACCAAUCUAGCUAUCGGCGUGGAGAUGUUUGUGAAGGUUUUAAGAAGCAGCUUUUGGACUUUUUGUUCUUGGCCACAUGUGACGUACUUGUGUUGUCCAAUAGCGGGUUUGGGAUGAUGGCGGCCUACCUCCGGACACACAAGACUGGACUGUACUGCUGGACAGGCAGUGGUAUUGUUCCCUGCUCCCGGUAUACGGUACAUGAUUUUUACCCUCUUCCGAUCCUCGCUCCAGAACUGCAUCAUUAAAACUAUGUGUUUAAUUAAGAGAGUGGUUGUGUUACAAGAGCGAGUGAAACGUAUGUAGGUUGAGAUUGUGAGAGACAGGGGCUUUCAAAGCGAAACGUGUUUACACAUUUAUUGUGUGUUUGUGUGUGUGCAAUUUUGACCCCUUUAGGUUCGCUGUAGUCCCACUGUAGACUCACAACAUAGACUCACUAAACUCAGUGUAGACUCACUUUAUAAGGUUCGCUGUAGUCAACAUGUGGCUCACAACAAAGACUCGCUAGACUCGAGUAGACUCACUUUAUAAGGUUCGCUGUAGUCAACCUGUAGGCUCACAACAUAGACUCACUAGACUCAGUGUAGACUCACUUUAUAAGGUUCGCUGUAGUCAACAUGUAGGCUCACAACAAAGACUCGCUAGACUCGAGUAGACUCACUUUAUAAGGUUCGCUGUAGUCAACCUGUAGGCUCACAACAAAGACUCACUNAAGACUCAGCGUAGACUCACUUUAUAAGGUUCGCUGUAGUCAACCUGUAGGCUCACAACAUAGACUCACUAGACUCAGCGUAGACUCACUUUAUAAGGUUCGCUGUAGUCAACCUGUAGGCUCACAACAAAGACUCGCUAUACUCGAGUAGACUCACUUUAUAAGGUUCGCUGUAGUCAACCUGUAGGCUCACAACAAAGAAUCACUGUUGACUCAGUGUAGACUCACUUUAUAAGGUUCGCUGUAGUCAACCUGUAGGCUCACAACAAAGAAUCCCUGUUGACUCAAUGUAGACUCACUAAAGUAAGUUUGUGAUGAAGUAUCUUUAUCCCGCGCGUUUCUCUGUCUUCAUCCCAGCGGGGUGAUUGAGCCGUCAAACCCAUCCCAUAGUACGGGCAUACUCCUCUGAAGUAUGUGAGAAAUCCAACUCCAAAUUCCUUUCUGAUGUCUAUAUUACAUACUUUCUCUUGAUUUCUUGGGGUAUAAUUUUGCAUCCUCUAAAUUCUACCUAAUUAUUUUUCACAUCACAUGCCCUAUUUGCAAUAGCUAAAAGCUAAAUGAGGAGGGAUUUCUAUAAAUACUGAUCUACACUUAUACCCAUUACACACUAAGUAAUCUACACGUGACUUGUUUUUUCCCCAACCUUUUGACACAUUUUAUAUUGUGGAGAUAUGGGUUCAUUGAUUAAUACAUUGUUCCUUGAUAUCCAAGCUACAGUAAAAACGACAAUGAUUAUACAGUGAUUGUGUCAGAAAUAUAUAUGGAGUCUUUUCUACGAGUCAAUACAGAACCUACAGUGAGGCUAUAGAGACUUUAUUGGAAGUCUACAAUGACUUUAUAAAGGAGUCGAUAGGUAAUGUAUAUGGAGUCUACAAUGACUCGUGAGAGAGUCUAUAUGUAUAGUCUACAGGGAGUCCAUAUAAGGAGUCUACAGUGAGUCAAUAGGGAGUCAACAGUGAGUUUGUAAGGGGUCUGCAUUGAGUUUAUAUGCAGUCUAUAGUGAGCCAAUAAGGAGUAUGCAGUGAGUCAAUAGAGAGUCCUUGAAGUGAGUCAAUAGGGAUUCAUCAGUGAGUAUGAGUGAGUUUGUAAGGGGUCUGCAUUUAGUCUUUAGUGAGUCAAUAGAGAGUCCUUGAAGCGAGUCAAUAGAGAGUCUACAGUGAGUCAUCAGUGAGUUUGUAAGGGGUCUGCAUUGCGUCUAUAAGGAGUAUACAGUGAGGCAAUAGAUAGUCCUGGAAGUGAGUCAAUAAAGAGUAUAUAGUGAGUCAAUAGGGAUUCAUCAGUGAGUUUGUAAGGGGUCUGCAUUGAGUAUAUAAGGAGUUUGUAGUGACUUUAGGGAUGAAUGAAAAACAAGUUAAUUCUUACAUGUGUUUUCAUUAUUCCUAAUCAGAUUAUAUAUUUUGACUUCUGUGCCAUAAAACAAACAGCUAAAAUGUGUUUCAAUAAAUUCAUAUAUAUUUA
RNAcentral lists this unclassified non-coding RNA (3772 nucleotides) under Mizuhopecten yessoensis (Yesso scallop). Its description in RNAcentral is "uncharacterized LOC110467510, transcript variant X4". The record is from RNAcentral. Lineage: Eukaryota; Metazoa; Mollusca; Bivalvia; Pectinida; Pectinidae.